UAGGCGUAAAUGAUGCGAGUUAAGUGUGGGGGCGAUCUACGAGAUGGCCCUCGUGCUGUAGGGUAGCCGUUAAACUCGCUGCCUGGGGAGGUACGGUCGCAAGGCUGAAACUUAAAGGAAUUGGCGGGGGGAGGCACCACAAGAGGUGGAGGCUGCGGUUCAAUUGGACUCAACGCCGGAAACUCAUCGGGAGCGACAGCAGUAUGAUUGCCAGGUUGAUGACCUUGCUUGACAAGCUGAGAGGAGGUGCAUGGCGUAGUCGUGU
RNAcentral lists this ribosomal RNA (265 nucleotides) under uncultured archaeon. RNAcentral describes it as "partial 16S ribosomal RNA". It matches the Rfam family "Archaeal small subunit ribosomal RNA", at positions 748 to 1009 of the family's 1478-position model. The record is from RNAcentral.